GAUGAACGCUGGCGGCGUGCCUAAUACAUGCAAGUCGAGCGAACAGACGAGGAGCUUGCUCCUCUGACGUUAGCGGCGGACGGGUGAGUAACACGUGGAUAACCUACCUAUAAGACUGGGAUAACUUCGGGAAACCGGAGCUAAUACCGGAUAAUAUAUUGAACCGCAUGGUUCAAUAGUGAAAGACGGUUUUGCUGUCACUUAUAGAUGGAUCCACGCCGCAUUAGCUAGUUGGUAAGGUAACGGCUUACCAAGGCGACGAUGCGUAGCCGACCUGAGAGGGUGAUCAGCCACACUGGAACUGAGACACGGUCCAGACUCCUACGGGAGGCAGCAGUAGGGAAUCUUCCGCAAUGGGCGAAAGCCUGACGGAGCAACGCCGCGUGAGUGAUGAAGGUCUUCGGAUCGUAAAACUCUGUUAUUAGGGAAGAACAAAUGUGUAAGUAACUAUGCACGUCUUGACGGUACCUAAUCAGAAAGCCACGGCUAACUACGUG
Molecule: ribosomal RNA, 497 nt
Filed under: uncultured bacterium
Lineage: Bacteria
Description: partial 16S ribosomal RNA
Rfam family: Bacterial small subunit ribosomal RNA
Source: RNAcentral